GAGCACCCGCGGCUCGGAGCCAAGCUUCCCUGGGCUGGAUGGGAGGCCUCGAGUUAACUUCGUGUUGGACGGUCCAGGAGGUGGGAAAUGAACCUACGAUGUGAGCUGAGGACUACUAGAACCAACCUGAAACUUGGCGUCCAUGUAUAUCUUACAACGUGUGCGUGUGGGUAUGACUAGGGAUGGGAGCAGAGGAAGUCUGAUAGAACCAGAUUCCAUCGUUUGAACAGCAGCUUGAGCGUUCGAGAAUGUCCCUUCUGUACCCGCCUUCUCUCAUUUUUUUGUGUCAACUCUUUUAUCAAACUUCCACCGCACUUUAAAUUCUCCAGGUAUGUAAAAGCCUGCAGUAAGAGAGAAGAGAAGAAGAGGUGAGACACAAUGAGAGGACUUCUUGGACUCCCCACAAUCCCGGGCUCCAGUCUAUUUCUGAGACGUUCUUCAUUUCUACUCGUAGGUUCUGUGACAAAUCCUUGUAUGCUUAAUCCUGCCAUUUUGCUUAGAUUUUCAAUGGAUUCCUAUCAUUGGCCACAAGAAAAUUAUCCUAAACAAUGUAUUUUAAUGGGGGGAUUGGUGUCUGUAGCAGUUAAAAACUCAAAAUAGCAGUAGCUUAAAUCAAAUAAAAUGCAUUCCUCUUAUGUAAGUGUA
This is a long non-coding RNA of Hyaena hyaena (striped hyena), 645 nucleotides long. RefSeq lists it as uncharacterized. The transcript is spliced from 2 exons. The record is from RefSeq and is a predicted model, not a curated record. Lineage: Eukaryota; Metazoa; Chordata; Mammalia; Carnivora; Hyaenidae.